This is a non-coding RNA of Pogona vitticeps (central bearded dragon), 390 nucleotides long. The record is from RefSeq and is a predicted model, not a curated record. NCBI's taxonomy places the organism in Eukaryota, Metazoa, Chordata, Lepidosauria, Squamata, Agamidae.
UACUUCCUAAGGACCAUUAUUUUUGGUUUCAGGUCAACCCAGUUUAUUAGAUUACUUGCCGCAAACUUGUCAUCAGCUUAGAGAGAAUGUGCAACUUUCUUUGAACCCGGAGGCUUGGGCCCUCGCAGAAGAUGCUUGAGCACCAAGGUGGAACAACCACAAUCCAAACAAGAAUAGGUGUUGGAAGCAGCUUGGGGGCCUUCUGUCUGCCAACUAGGAACACCUACCUCAGGAAGUGGGGGAAAGGACACAGUGGUGUUAUGGGGGUAGGUCAAAAUGAAGAAAAUGUGGACCCACUAAAUCUGCCGCCCUCUCAGCCCCUGAUCCUGUCCCUAGGACAGGAUGAGAUUGAAGACCUGCAGGACAAAGCUAACUUCUUUCAUCCAUUGC